AGAGAUCUGGAGGAAUACCGGUGGCGAAGGCGGCCCCCUGGACAAAGACUGACGCUCAGGUGCGAAAGCGUGGGGAGCAAACAGGAUUAGAUACCCUGGUAGUCCACGCCGUAAACGAUGUCUACUUGGAGGUUGUGCCCUUGAGGCGUGGCUUCCGGAGCUAACGCGUUAAGUAGACCGCCUGGGGAGUACGGCCGCAAGGUUAAAACUCAAAUGAAUUGACGGGGGCCCGCACAAGCGGUGGAGCAUGUGGUUUAAUUCGAUGCAACGCGAAGAACCUUACCUGGUCUUGACAUCCACAGAAGAAUCCAGAGAUGGAUUUGUGCCUUCGGGAACUGUGAGACAGGUGCUGCAUGGCUGUCGUCAGCUCGUGUUGUGAAAUGUUGGGUUAAGUCCCGCAACGAGCGCAACCCUUAUCCUUUGUUGCCAGCGAUUAGG
Molecule: ribosomal RNA, 438 nt
Filed under: Salmonella enterica subsp. enterica serovar Typhimurium
Lineage: Bacteria; Pseudomonadati; Pseudomonadota; Gammaproteobacteria; Enterobacterales; Enterobacteriaceae
Description: bacterial SSU rRNA
Rfam family: Bacterial small subunit ribosomal RNA
Source: RNAcentral